Brassica napus (rape) is the source of this 748-nucleotide long non-coding RNA. RefSeq lists it as uncharacterized. Lineage: Eukaryota; Viridiplantae; Streptophyta; Magnoliopsida; Brassicales; Brassicaceae. The transcript is spliced from 3 exons. The record is from RefSeq and is a predicted model, not a curated record.
UUUGUGGGUUUGAAGAUGUAUAGAUUAUGUUUUAGUGACGCGAGUCUAAUGUGUUUAUGUUGUCAACAAGGCUGAUGGGUUUCAUUACCGUCAGCCUUGGGUUAUAGGUGUGCAGGAGGAGGUCGAAAGUCUGCGUAGGCGGGUGGAGAAGGCUGAGCAGGUGAUCAAGUUGGUGCCCAAUCUCAAUAAACAUAUCGACACAGUUGAGGCAGAGGUUAACCGCCUCAGUUUGGCGGUUGAUAACCUCACUGCUGAGAUUUAUUCUCUCACUGUGCAGGUCGCAAAUCUGGAGAAGGUCUGCUUCGAAUAAAAACCUUAAGGUCACGGGUUGCAGGAGGUGGAUGGUUGUACUUGUGUUCCAGUCACGGGUUCACGCUUUCUCUGUUUCUUUUAUGUACCUGUCUUUUAGCUUUAUGUACCUCUCUUUUAGCUCUAUGUAUGUCGGUUUCAAUCACGGGAAAGUGUAGAAUGUUGGAUUUUUCUACACUUCUAUCUUAUGUAAUCACGGGUGUAUGUACCCCUGAUAACUUCAUUCACGGGUGUAAACAUUGUCUCCCUAUAUAUAUUAUGUUUGUCACUUCUCUUUGGCGAUCAUUUAUAAAAUCUCCAAUGCAACUUCUCUUUCUUUCUCACUUGUCUUUGUGAAACACACUGCUUUCCUCAUCCUCCUCUACACCAAGUCUCCAAAGUAUUUGUGUAUCGACCCACUGCUUUCUUCAUCCUCCUUUACACCAAGUCUCUCUCCUUG